UACUUAAUACACUCUUUGAAAAAAGCAUUAAUUGUCGUUGAAAAGAAACAAAUUGUAGGCAGAAGAUGCUUCCAACCCAUGAAAAGGAGGAGUCAUGAGCGAUGUGGUUCAAAGUUUCUAUGUAGUUUCAUCACAACACUAGUACUUAAGACACUUGGGGGGUGAUCAGGGAAGUAGGAAGCCAAAUAUUUUAAACUUGCAUCUUAUAGAAUUGGCGAUCCUCUUGUCUCAUCAUGGAUUCGUUGAGUCUUUCUUCUGUUUCAGAACAGGCCAGGGAGAACAAUGUAAAUUAACUAACAAGUUCUUGCUUCCAAUAAAGCCUACAAGGCAACCAAAUCCAAUCAUAUACAGGAAAUUGCGUCGAGGAUCAACUGCAGGGAGAUUUCAAGAGAAACAAAUUGAGUACCCUACAAAUAAGGAGUUACUGAGAACAAUUGAGUACUUGACAAAUGCUACAUCAGUAUAUUAUGAGGAAAGGGAUCACCAUUAUGUUCUUCAUUUUUGUGAUGUUACCUGUGACUUUUCUCUGUUCAUGCGACAAAUGCCGAAACACUAAUUUAGACUGUAUAUGACUUUUGUCUCCACAUGCACUUAAUUUGCAGCCUGACAAAAUAUUGUCUUACAAUAAAGCCUAUAUUGACGAGGAAGAUGAAGAAGAGUGGAGCUCACAAAGCGACGAGGAAAAGGGUCAGAAGGAACUUCAAAAAACUAUCAACUACUCUAACGACAUAGUCACCAAAAAACGGAAAAGGAAAAGCAGCCAUGUUGACAAGAUUAGUUAUUCAGAUUAAUUUGCUUGCUCAGUUGAAAAAAAAUACAAUCAUAUAUCUUAUAAAUCUUCACUAUAUAAAUGGGAUUUGCGAACAAAGUAUAAUUUUGUCUGUGCAGAAAAUUUUAUAAAUCAUAUCAAUAUUCAAUGGAAAGAAGAAAAGUAAUGAAAACCCAAGUUGCCGUUUCAUUUAUGUUAACAUUUAGUAUAUGUGCAAACACAUUGAAACUGGGAGAAAUUAUUACAGUCUUGGAUGAUCCCUUUGUAAAUUGAAAUUUGAUUAUGUGUGUAAAAAUUAGUUAGGACUAUAGACAUGUAGUAGUCUCCGAAGAUGUAAUAAUCUCUCCUGAAGCUUAUAAGAUUAAUAUUUGAGUAAUUCUUUAUAAUUUGGACAGGCAAACAAGGAAUAUGCUAUAUCUUCUUCCUCUUCCCAUGUGAUAGAUAUCAAGACACUUUCAAAACUUUAGAACGUGGAAGCCAAGGAUUAAGAAAAAAUGAUUCUCACAUAGUAAGUGCUCCCAUUUGUGAGACAUUCAGACAGUUCUGUUCAACGGGAGAUAAUUUGUCCACAGGAACAUCGUGCUGCAUUAGCAGUUAAGUUAUACGGAGUUCAAGCAGCACUUUUAUCUGCUUUGGGCAACCCUUUUGAGAACCUAUCCCAGUCCAAAAGCUCAAGUUUGUGGCAAGCCUCUGGCGGGUUCUUACCAGCAAUGAUAUGGACUGGAAUGUUCCCAGUGAGUCUAUGAAGCACGGACACUCCAGUCCCUUAUCGUGUCUGGUGUCCGACACUCAUCCGUGUCAGUGUCCGACACCGACACAACACCCAUACCACGUUCUAUAUUUUGGACAUUACAGGUGUCUACAUGUUAGCGUCCGUGUCGUGUCCAGUGUUUGUGUCGGUGUCGGUGCUUCAUAGCAGUGAGUUUUGUGUACACCGUAAUUGUGGUUUGGUCAUUGGCUUUUAGAGUGCCCAUUAUCUCAAUGCUGUGCCUUUCUCUUCUGUACUGUUUGUCUGUGUUGGUUGCUGCAGCAGGGUUUGAUGUCACGUGUGGCAUGUUUAGAAUGAGUGGCAUCUUGUUUGCAUCUUUAGGAGUUCUUGGUUUUGUUCUGCUCCUUCUUGUUGUGGUCAUGAUGGUGCUUUUUGCUUCCUGGAGUUGCGCUAAACAAGAUGGAGGAGCCAAGUGAUGAGUGCUUGGUGCUUGGCAUGCAGGGUCAUGGAAAACAAUUUAGGAUCAGGAGUCGUUCUAGGCUAGCUUCUAGACUUCUAGUUACCUUCAUUGAGGGCUUUCUACAUUUUUUACUACGAAUAUAGUUUUCAGGUUUAGUUGAAAGAUUUUUACAAUUUCAAAUCA
Long non-coding RNA from Glycine soja, 2121 nucleotides. RefSeq lists it as uncharacterized. The record is from RefSeq and is a predicted model, not a curated record. The transcript is spliced from 3 exons. NCBI's taxonomy places the organism in Eukaryota, Viridiplantae, Streptophyta, Magnoliopsida, Fabales, Fabaceae.